CCUACGGGUGGCAGCAGUAGGGAAUAUUGCUCAAUGGGGGAAACCCUGAAGCAGCAACGCCGCGUGGAGGAUGAAGGUUUUCGGAUUGUAAACUCCUUUUGUUAGAGAAGAUAAUGACGGUAUCUAACGAAUAAGCACCGGCUAACUCCGUGCCAGCAGCCGCGGUAAUACGGAGGGGGCAAGCGUUACUCGGAAUCACUGGGCGUAAAGAGCGCGGAGGCGGGAUAGCAAGUCAGAUGUGAAAUCCUAGGGCUGAACCAUAGAACUGCAUUUGAAACUGUUAUUCUAGAGUAUGGGAGGGGGAGGUGGAAUUCUUGGUGUAGGGGUAAAAUCCGUAGAGAUCAAGAGGAAUACUCAUUGCGAAGGCGACCUGCUAGAACAUAACUGACGCUGAUGCGCGAAAGCGUGGGGAGCAAACAGGAUUAGAUACCCGAGUAGUC
RNAcentral lists this ribosomal RNA (440 nucleotides) under uncultured bacterium. RNAcentral's name for it is "partial 16S ribosomal RNA". It matches the Rfam family "Bacterial small subunit ribosomal RNA", at positions 338 to 795 of the family's 1533-position model. The record is from RNAcentral.